This 253-nucleotide ribosomal RNA is filed under the name uncultured bacterium. RNAcentral describes it as "partial 16S ribosomal RNA". It matches the Rfam family "Bacterial small subunit ribosomal RNA", at positions 524 to 776 of the family's 1533-position model. The record is from RNAcentral.
UACGAAGGUCCCAAGCGUUGUUCGGAAUCACUGGGCGUAAAGGGAGCGUAGGCGGCGUGGUAAGUCAGAUGUGAAAUCCCGGGGCUCAACCCCGGAACUGCAUCCGAUACUGCCAUGCUAGAGGAUUGGAGAGGUAGCUGGAAUUCUUGGUGUAGCAGUGAAAUGCGUAGAGAUCAAGAGGAACACUCGUGGCGAAAGCGGGUAGCUGGGCCGACACUGACGCUGAGGCGCGAAAGCCAGGGGAGCGAACGGG